Bos taurus (domestic cattle) is the source of this 763-nucleotide long non-coding RNA. The record is from Ensembl. Lineage: Eukaryota; Metazoa; Chordata; Mammalia; Artiodactyla; Bovidae.
GGCGCUCCAGGCCAGGGGCCGAACGGCGGCCGGACAGCCCGCCCCGGGACUGGAGCCUACCUUGGACCCAGAGCCGCGGCAGGAUCCGCUCCGAGACUGGGCCGCAGGCCCAGGGGGUGGGCGCAGGCCGCUGAGAGAUCGAGGCGCUCCGCGCACCCGAAGGAAACUCCAGACAGAGGAGGCAGACACAAGGAUGGGACUGCCCGAGGCUCGGGAUGGGGUCCUGAGCACUUCCGGAACCGGCUGGCUCCAGCUGCCUCCAGCAUCCUUGUGGGAUGUGGUUCCUCCCCCCAUCCAAGCCGGAUUGCACCUUGGUACAAGCUGCGGCAGAGGCGUAGCUUGAUGGAGGGUAGAUUGGGCAGCCAGCACCGCGGUUUAUUCACUGACUGUGACUUCUUCAAAAGAGACAAGGGGAUACUCAUGGAGGACAUUCAGGCUGUGUGUGCCCGGCCCUGGAUGUUCACUUGGAGUCGACUACAGACAGCCCCUGAGGCCCAGUGGGGCCUCCUCUCUCUUCUGAGGAACUGAGGCCUGGGGGAGGGCAGGUAUCUUGCCUAAGGACUUGCCUCUUCAGGAGAAGCCUCCAGGCUGCUGUAUGGUCUGAACGUUUGUGUCCCCUUAAAACCCAUGUUGAAACUUAACUCCCAAAGUGAUGAUAUUAGGAGGUGGAAACUCUGGGAGCUGCUUAGGUUGUAAGGAUCAGAUUCUCUUGAGUGGGAUAGGUGCUGUCAUAAAAGAUACCCCGUAAAUUAUAUCUCAAUAA